CCUACUGGAGGCAUCAUUGAGGCAUCUUGGUCAAUGGCCGAGAGGCUGAACCAGCCAAGUCGCGUGAUGUCCUCCUUCCCUCCUUUUUUUCCCCCUCUUUUGUCGUUUCGCCCCGCGCCCCCCGUGUGGGUCAUUGAGCGUACCCGAAGAAAAAGCAUCGGCUAACUCCGUGCCAGCCGCCGCGGUCCUACGGAGGAUGCGCGCGUUCUCCGGCUUUGUGGGGUUUCCCGGGUGCGCAGGCGGAGGUGCAAGUCAGCGGUAAAAUUGCGGGGCUCAACCCCGUACUGCCGUUGAAACUGCAUCCCUUGAGUGCGCGAGAAGUAUGCGGAAUGCGUGGUGUAGCGGUGAAAUGCAUAGAUAUCACGCAGAACUCCGAUUGCGAAGGCAGCAUACCGGCGCGCAACUGACGCUCAUGCACGAAAGCGUGGGUAUCGAACAGGAUUAGAGACCCCAGUAGUC
Molecule: ribosomal RNA, 459 nt
Filed under: uncultured bacterium
Lineage: Bacteria
Description: partial 16S ribosomal RNA
Rfam family: Bacterial small subunit ribosomal RNA
Source: RNAcentral